This 121-nucleotide microRNA precursor is filed under the name Notamacropus eugenii (tammar wallaby). Its description in RNAcentral is "miRNA (ENSMEUG00000017741.1)". Lineage: Eukaryota; Metazoa; Chordata; Mammalia; Diprotodontia; Macropodidae. The record is from RNAcentral.
GGGUGGGGAUAGGGAGGAGGAGGUUGGGAAGGAAUGUUGUUUCUAUGUCAAUGAAUCCUCUCAAAUAGAGGAAGACCUUAGUACAUUAAACAAGCACCAAAAAAAUUUAAGGGACAGGGGU